This 879-nucleotide ribosomal RNA is filed under the name Chicoreus asianus. RNAcentral's name for it is "12S ribosomal RNA". The stretch from base 459 to 872 matches the Rfam family "Microsporidia small subunit ribosomal RNA", at positions 752 to 1303 of the family's 1311-position model. Lineage: Eukaryota; Metazoa; Mollusca; Gastropoda; Neogastropoda; Muricidae. The record is from RNAcentral.
AUUAAGCUUGGCUCUGACUUAGCUGUAUAAUAUAGAACUAAAGAAUACACAUGGUAUUUAUUGAAAGGGGCGAGGUAAAAAGGGUGGUAUUUAAUUAUUAUGAAUGAUUGUCUAUUUCUUUUUUAGGGUAUUAUAGAUCUAUAUAAUGCCUUGAAAGGUCCCGCUAACACCAGUGCUGAAGGUUAGUAAAAGAGCGAAAGCCCGAACUAAUUUAGUUCAUAAAGCCUGGUCAACUAGGUGCCAGCAUCCGCGGUUAAACCAAGAAGGCUAAGUUAUACUUUACGGUAAAAAGACAGUUAAGUUGAUCUUUAAGUUUUAUUAAUAUAUAUAUAAAGGUAGAAUUUGAACAUAUGUCUAUGAUUUCAUAAAAACUUUAGAACUGAAGCUGUGAUAGCUUUGAGGGAAACUGGGAUUAGAUACCCCAUUAUUCUUGGCUGUAAAAAAAUAUAAAUUUACCAGAGUACUACGAACCAAAAAGUUUAAAACUCAAAGGGCUUGGCGGUGUUUUAGACCUCUUAGGGGAACCUGUCUCAUAAUCGAUAAUCCACGUUAAACCUAACUUCUUUUUGUAUUCAGUAUGUAUACCAUCGUCGUCAGGUAACUUUUAAAAAAUCAGAAGUUAGCCAAUAAGCUGUAUAAGCUAAAACGUCAGAUCAAGGUGCAGUCUAUGAAGGAGUGAGGAUGGGUUACAAUUAUUAAAUCAUAAAUACGAAAUAGUUAAAUGAAUAAAUAACUAUGAAGGAGGACUUAAAAGUAAACUGGAUUAUAUAAACAUAUUGAAUUGGGCUCUGAAACGUGCACACAUCGCCCGUCGCUCUCGUUGAAAAAUGAGAUAAGUCGUAACAUAGCAGGGGUAAUGGAAAUUGUUCCUAGAUAAAA